GCUAGGAGUCAGAAUUGACUCCACAGCGCUAACAACAGUGUCCAAAAAGUGUUCCAGUGAUCCCUAGGGGUUUUGUAGAUGUGCCUCUGAGGACCACUGUAGGGGACAAAAGGGAAAGGAGCAUGCAGGCCACCAAGCAACAUAUCUCUUCUAGGAAUGAGUCUCAAGAUGUGAAUAUGCUCUGAAGUGAUUACACAGAGGUGAUCUUUUGAAGGGGAAAAUGGGCCUGGCAAUACUUUUUCUGUGAAGAACAAAUAAGGUCACAGAGGGCUCUGAUAUACUGGCAACUGACUACACUAAUAAACAGCAUUAUGCCAAGAUACAAUUUUGGAUUUCACACCAAGAAUCUCCAGAUACCAAGGAAUACCUGAGAAGUGGAAUGGCUUUUGGCUAGGGCUGGGACUUACUCUCUUAACUGUCAGUCUUCCUAAGAUAGUUGGCUAGCUAGAAAGGACUCAAGUGAAAAUAAAGUUAGAUAUCUAUCUUAAACCAUAUGCACAAACUAUCAGAUAAAAUAUUUAAAUAUUUUAAAAAUCAUACAAAUAUUAGAAGAAAAUAUAAGCAAAUAUUUAUAUAAUCUUGAAGAACAAAACAACUUUUCUAAGUGUGAUGCCAAGGCAGAAAUGAAGACCAAUAGAUUUGGCAACAAAAAUAAAACUUUAAGGUGGCAAAAACAUGAGGGCCGGCCCCGUGGCUGAGUGGUUAAGUUCACGGGCUCCGCUUCGGCGGCCCAGGGUUUUGCUGGUUUGGAUC
Non-coding RNA from Equus caballus (horse), 753 nucleotides. The record is from RefSeq and is a predicted model, not a curated record. Lineage: Eukaryota; Metazoa; Chordata; Mammalia; Perissodactyla; Equidae.